GAUGAACGCUGGCGGCGUGCCUAAUACAUGCAAGUCGAGCGAACCACUUCGGUGGUGAGCGGCGAACGGGUGAGUAACACGUAGGUGAUCUGCCCAUCAGACGGGGACAACGAUUGGAAACGAUCGCUAAUACCGGAUAGGACGAAAGUUUAAAGGUGCUUCUGGCACCGCUGAUGGAUGAGCCUGCUGCGCAUUAGGUAUUGAGUAGAGUAAAGGCCUACAAAGGCGACGAUGCGUAGCCGACCUGAGAGGGUGACCGGCCACACUGGGAGUGGGACACGGCCCAGACUCCUACGGGAGGCAGCAGUAGGGAAUCUUCGGCAAUGGGCGAAAGCCUGACCGAGCAACGCCGCGUGAAUGAUGAAGGCCUUCGGGUUGUAAAAUUCUGUUAUAAGGGAAGAACGACUUUAGUAGGAAAUGGCUAGAGUGUGACGGUACCUUAUGAGAAAGCCACGGCUAACUACGUGCCAGCAGCCGCCGUAA
This 483-nucleotide ribosomal RNA is filed under the name uncultured bacterium. RNAcentral's name for it is "partial 16S ribosomal RNA". It matches the Rfam family "Bacterial small subunit ribosomal RNA", at positions 28 to 523 of the family's 1533-position model. The record is from RNAcentral.